UACGUAGGUGACAAGCGUUGUCCGGAUUUACUGGGCGUAAAGAGCGCGCAGGCGGUCGUUCAAGUCGAGUGUGAAAGCCCCCGGCUCAACUGGGGAGGGUCACUCGAUACUGAUCGACUCGAAGGCAGGAGAGGGAAGUGGAAUUCCCGGUGUAGUGGUGAAAUGCGUAGAUAUCGGGAGGAACACAGUGGCGAAGGCGACUUCCUGGCCUGUUCUUGACGCUGAGGCGCGAAAGCUAGGGGAGCAACGGG
Molecule: ribosomal RNA, 251 nt
Filed under: uncultured bacterium
Lineage: Bacteria
Description: partial 16S ribosomal RNA
Rfam family: Bacterial small subunit ribosomal RNA
Source: RNAcentral